CAAUGGAAAAUUGCAUUACUUCUCAAAAGUCAUACCAACUUGCAUGACUAAAGGCUAUUUUUAGGCAACAAGGUAUUGUACCUGUCAAGGUACAAAUAUUGCUAUAAAAAACUUCUUUAUACCCAAUAUUAGUUUUUUCUUUAACUUAAAACAGGGAGGUGAAGAACUGUAAAAGAUCCUGCCUCAUCGAAGACUGUUGCAUAAUAACUUGCAAGACACUCAGCUGUGAUAUACCGUGUUGGCAUGGGCUGCAAGACUCAAGUGGCUUCUUCAUCAUUUCAGCAUCAGGACACCGUGCUGGAUGUGCAGCUGGCCCGGAUGUUAUUUAUUAAUAGGAGUUUAACUUCGUUCGUUGAGGUUGUUUUAACUGGUUUAAGUGAAGGCUUUCUCCGUUUCACAUGAGGAAAACCUAUGAAGAAACUGGUGUUCCUUGAGUUAUCGGGGAGGCUGAAGUGGAUUCUUGCGGUCUCCUCUCUUCUAUGCGGCAAAGCAUCUCCUAACACGAAGAAGUUCUGUAUGCAUUAAAGUGUGAUUACUUUUAGGAUCAUAGAGGAAAAUAAAACAAUAUUUAGAUUGUCAUAUUUACUAGUAGAAGAUUUGCAGAUAUUUCCGUCAGUGUGCACAUAAAUAAAGGAAAUUAAACAGA
Long non-coding RNA from Pocillopora damicornis (cauliflower coral), 646 nucleotides. NCBI's taxonomy places the organism in Eukaryota, Metazoa, Cnidaria, Anthozoa, Scleractinia, Pocilloporidae. The record is from RefSeq and is a predicted model, not a curated record.